This 420-nucleotide ribosomal RNA is filed under the name uncultured bacterium. RNAcentral's name for it is "bacterial SSU rRNA". It matches the Rfam family "Bacterial small subunit ribosomal RNA", at positions 356 to 773 of the family's 1533-position model. The record is from RNAcentral.
GAGGAAUAUUGGUCAAUGGGCGAGAGCCUGAACCAGCCAAGUAGCGUGAAGGAUGAAGGUCCUACGGAUUGUAAACUUCUUUUAUACGGGAAUAAAGUAUCCUACGUGUAGGAUUUUGUAUGUACCGUAUGAAUAAGCAUCGGCUAACUCCGUGCCAGCAGCCGCGGUAAUACGGAGGAUGCGAGCGUUAUCCGGAUUUAUUGGGUUUAAAGGGAGCGCAGACGGGAGAUUAAGUCAGUUGUGAAAGUUUGCGGCUCAACCGUAAAAUUGCAGUUGAUACUGGUUUCCUUGAGUGCAGUUGAGGCAGGCGGAAUUCGUGGUGUAGCGGUGAAAUGCUUAGAUAUCACGAAGAACCCCGAUUGCGAAGGCAGCUUGCUAAACUGUAACUGACGUUCAUGCUCGAAAGUGUGGGUAUCAAAC